Molecule: ribosomal RNA, 2484 nt
Filed under: human gut metagenome
Description: bacterial LSU rRNA
Rfam family: Bacterial large subunit ribosomal RNA
Source: RNAcentral
AGCGUACACGGUGGAUGCCCUGGCAGUCAGAGGCGAUGAAGGACGUGCUAAUCUGCGAUAAGCGUCGGUAAGGUGAUAUGAACCGUUAUAACCGGCGAUUUCCGAAUGGGGAAACCCAGUGUGAUUCGUCACACUAUCAUUAACUGAAUCCAUAGGUUAAUGAGGCGAACCGGGGGAACUGAAACAUCUAAGUACCCCGAGGAAAAGAAAUCAACCGAGAUUCCCCCAGUAGCGGCGAGCGAACGGGGAGCAGCCCAGAGCCUGAAUCAGUGUGUGUGUUAGUGGAAGCGUCUGGAAAGGCGCGCGAUACAGGGUGACAGCCCCGUACACAAAAAUGCACAUGCUGUGAGCUCGAUGAGUAGGGCGGGACACGUGGUAUCCUGUCUGAAUAUGGGGGGACCAUCCUCCAAGGCUAAAUACUCCUGACUGACCGAUAGUGAACCAGUACCGUGAGGGAAAGGCGAAAAGAACCCCGGCGAGGGGAGUGAAAAAGAACCUGAAACCGUGUACGUACAAGCAGUGGGAGCACGCUUAGGCGUGUGACUGCGUACCUUUUGUAUAAUGGGUCAGCGACUUAUAUUCUGUAGCAAGGUUAACCGAAUAGGGGAGCCGAAGGGAAACCGAGUCUUAACUGGGCGUUAAGUUGCAGGGUAUAGACCCGAAACCCGGUGAUCUAGCCAUGGGCAGGUUGAAGGUUGGGUAACACUAACUGGAGGACCGAACCGACUAAUGUUGAAAAAUUAGCGGAUGACUUGUGGCUGGGGGUGAAAGGCCAAUCAAACCGGGAGAUAGCUGGUUCUCCCCGAAAGCUAUUUAGGUAGCGCCUCGUGAAUUCAUCUCCGGGGGUAGAGCACUGUUUCGGCAAGGGGGUCAUCCCGACUUACCAACCCGAUGCAAACUGCGAAUACCGGAGAAUGUUAUCACGGGAGACACACGGCGGGUGCUAACGUCCGUCGUGAAGAGGGAAACAACCCAGACCGCCAGCUAAGGUCCCAAAGUCAUGGUUAAGUGGGAAACGAUGUGGGAAGGCCCAGACAGCCAGGAUGUUGGCUUAGAAGCAGCCAUCAUUUAAAGAAAGCGUAAUAGCUCACUGGUCGAGUCGGCCUGCGCGGAAGAUGUAACGGGGCUAAACCAUGCACCGAAGCUGCGGCAGCGACGCUUAUGCGUUGUUGGGUAGGGGAGCGUUCUGUAAGCCUGCGAAGGUGUGCUGUGAGGCAUGCUGGAGGUAUCAGAAGUGCGAAUGCUGACAUAAGUAACGAUAAAGCGGGUGAAAAGCCCGCUCGCCGGAAGACCAAGGGUUCCUGUCCAACGUUAAUCGGGGCAGGGUGAGUCGACCCCUAAGGCGAGGCCGAAAGGCGUAGUCGAUGGGAAACAGGUUAAUAUUCCUGUACUUGGUGUUACUGCGAAGGGGGGACGGAGAAGGCUAUGUUGGCCGGGCGACGGUUGUCCCGGUUUAAGCGUGUAGGCUGGUUUUCCAGGCAAAUCCGGAAAAUCAAGGCUGAGGCGUGAUGACGAGGCACUACGGUGCUGAAGCAACAAAUGCCCUGCUUCCAGGAAAAGCCUCUAAGCAUCAGGUAACAUCAAAUCGUACCCCAAACCGACACAGGUGGUCAGGUAGAGAAUACCAAGGCGCUUGAGAGAACUCGGGUGAAGGAACUAGGCAAAAUGGUGCCGUAACUUCGGGAGAAGGCACGCUGAUAUGUAGGUGAAGUGAUUUACUCAUGGAGCUGAAAUCAGUCGAAGAUACCAGCUGGCUGCAACUGUUUAUUAAAAACACAGCACUGUGCAAACACGAAAGUGGACGUAUACGGUGUGACGCCUGCCCGGUGCCGGAAGGUUAAUUGAUGGGGUCAGCGCAAGCGAAGCUCUUGAUCGAAGCCCCGGUAAACGGCGGCCGUAACUAUAACGGUCCUAAGGUAGCGAAAUUCCUUGUCGGGUAAGUUCCGACCUGCACGAAUGGCGUAAUGAUGGCCAGGCUGUCUCCACCCGAGACUCAGUGAAAUUGAACUCGCUGUGAAGAUGCAGUGUACCCGCGGCAAGACGGAAAGACCCCGUGAACCUUUACUAUAGCUUGACACUGAACAUUGAGCCUUGAUGUGUAGGAUAGGUGGGAGGCUUUGAAGUGUGGACGCCAGUCUGCAUGGAGCCGACCUUGAAAUACCACCCUUUAAUGUUUGAUGUUCUAACGUGGACCCGUAAUCCGGGUUGCGGACAGUGUCUGGUGGGUAGUUUGACUGGGGCGGUCUCCUCCUAAAGAGUAACGGAGGAGCACGAAGGUUGGCUAAUCCUGGUCGGACAUCAGGAGGUUAGUGCAAUGGCAUAAGCCAGCUUGACUGCGAGCGUGACGGCGCGAGCAGGUGCGAAAGCAGGUCAUAGUGAUCCGGUGGUUCUGAAUGGAAGGGCCAUCGCUCAACGGAUAAAAGGUACUCCGGGGAUAACAGGCUGAUACCGCCCAAGAGUUCAUAUCGACGGCGGUGUUUGGCA